UACGUAGGGCGCAAGCGUUGUCCGGAAUUAUUGGGCGUAAAGAGCUCGUAGGCGGCUUGUCACGUCGAUUGUGAAAGCCCGAGGCUUAACCUCGGGUCUGCAGUCGAUACGGGCUAGCUAGAGUGUGGUAGGGGAGAUCGGAAUUCCUGGUGUAGCGGUGAAAUGCGCAGAUAUCAGGAGGAAUACCGAUGGCGAAGACAGGUCUCUGGGCCGACACUGACGCUCAUGCACGAAAGCGUGGGGAGCAAACAGG
RNAcentral lists this ribosomal RNA (253 nucleotides) under uncultured bacterium. RNAcentral's name for it is "partial 16S ribosomal RNA". It matches the Rfam family "Bacterial small subunit ribosomal RNA", at positions 524 to 776 of the family's 1533-position model. The record is from RNAcentral.